This 403-nucleotide ribosomal RNA is filed under the name uncultured bacterium. RNAcentral describes it as "bacterial SSU rRNA". It matches the Rfam family "Bacterial small subunit ribosomal RNA", at positions 356 to 773 of the family's 1533-position model. The record is from RNAcentral.
GGGGAAUAUUGGGCAAUGGGCGAAAGCCUGACCCAGCAACGCCGCGUGAGGGAAGAAGGCUUUCGGGUUGUAAACCUCUGUCCUUGGUGACGGAGGAAGUGACGGUAGCCAAGGAGGAAGCCCCGGCUAACUACGUGCCAGCAGCCGCGGUAAUACGUAGGGGGCGAGCGUUGUCCGGAAUUACUGGGCGUAAAGGGUGCGUAGGCGGCCGAUUAAGUUGGAUGUGAAAUACCCGGGCUUAACCUGGGGGGUGCAUCCAAUACUGGUUGGCUAGAGUGCAGGAGAGGGAAGCGGAAUUCCUAGUGUAGCGGUGAAAUGCGUAGAUAUUAGGAGGAACACCAGUGGCGAAGGCGGCUUUCUGGACUGUAACUGACGCUGUUGCACGAAAGCGUGGGGAGCAAAC